AACAUACUCCCUCCGUCCGGANNNNNUUGUCAUAAGAAUGGAUGUAUCUAGAUGCAUUUUAGUUCUAGAUACAUCCAUUUUUAUUCAUUUUUGUGACAUGUAAUUCCUGAUGGAGGGAGUAAUAG
Molecule: non-coding RNA, 125 nt
Organism: Hordeum vulgare subsp. vulgare (domesticated barley)
Lineage: Eukaryota; Viridiplantae; Streptophyta; Magnoliopsida; Poales; Poaceae
Source: Rfam